RNAcentral lists this small nuclear RNA (140 nucleotides) under Marchantia polymorpha subsp. ruderalis. Its description in RNAcentral is "U4 spliceosomal RNA". It matches the Rfam family "U4 spliceosomal RNA". From Rfam's summary of the family: U4 small nuclear RNA (U4 snRNA) is a component of the major U2-dependent spliceosome. Lineage: Eukaryota; Viridiplantae; Streptophyta; Marchantiopsida; Marchantiales; Marchantiaceae. The record is from Rfam by way of RNAcentral.
AUCUUUGCGCGUGGGGCAAUGACGCAGUUAGUGAGGUGAAACCGAGAGACGCGUCAAUUGCUGGUUGAAAACUAUUUCCAAACUAUUUGCAUACUACGAGUUCGUUUUAGUGCAAUUUCUUCUUUUCUCCCUUACAAAAG